GGUCGGUACAAAGGGUUGCUACACAGCGAUGUGAUGCUAAUCUCAAAAAGCCGAUCGUAGUCCGGAUUGGAGUCUGCAACUCGACUCCAUGAAGUCGGAAUCGCUAGUAAUCGCGGAUCAGAAUGCCGCGGUGAAUACGUUCCCGGGCCUUGUACACACCGCCCGUCACACCAUGGGAGUUUGUUGCACCAGAAGUAGCUAGCCUAACUGCAAAGAGGGCGGUUACCACGGUGUGGCCGAUGACUGGGGUGAAGUCGUAACAAGGUAGCCGUAGGGGAACCUGCGGCUGGAUCACCUCCUUA
RNAcentral lists this ribosomal RNA (302 nucleotides) under Acinetobacter baumannii. RNAcentral's name for it is "partial 16S ribosomal RNA". It matches the Rfam family "Bacterial small subunit ribosomal RNA", at positions 1232 to 1533 of the family's 1533-position model. Lineage: Bacteria; Pseudomonadati; Pseudomonadota; Gammaproteobacteria; Moraxellales; Moraxellaceae. The record is from RNAcentral. RNAcentral also lists the same sequence under 1 other name.